Molecule: long non-coding RNA, 290 nt
Filed under: Phoenix dactylifera (date palm)
Lineage: Eukaryota; Viridiplantae; Streptophyta; Magnoliopsida; Arecales; Arecaceae
Description: long non-coding RNA (PDAC_LNC013572)
Source: RNAcentral
AAACUGAUAAAUACAUAUUUUACCAUGAAAUUGAAUAAACAUUGAAUUAAAUUUAAAUUAUGGUAAGAGGUAAAUAAUUCUUUUCUUAAACCAGAUUCUGAACUUGUCUCUCUCUUGAUUGCAAUCUUUAAUGAAAACUACAGAAAAACAUAUAAGGAGAUUGUGUUGACCCGGCUAAGAUUAUAAUUAAAUGGGCUUUGGUCUUGAUUAGAUUAAAAGUUAUAAUUGUAUAGAAAAAUAUUUGAUUAACCCUCUUAUUAAGUCACGAUCCUGCUUUUAGCCCUGUUGAG